UAAAAGAAAAACUUGAAAUUGCUCGUAGUUUUCAGGCAGAAGCUACAUGUCUACUUAUUUCUGUAACUUUGAGAAAACUUAGCUACUUUUUUUUCUCCAGAUCAUGGUAAACCUGGUUUAAACUUCUAUCCAUUACAACUUUUUUUGAAAGUCACCUAUUUUUGAAUGAAUGUAAUAUUACAUCGAAAUGUGUAAUUUAUUAGAAAUGUUUCAUUACAGUCAAAAAAGGCGAAGAGUGAUUCCCAAAAAAAGACUGCAAGACGAGCAACAUCCAAUGUCUUUGCUAUGUUCGAACAAAAUCAAAUAGCCGAGUUCAAAGAGGCUUUCCAGAUGAUUGAUUCUAAUAAAGAUGGUCUUAU
Non-coding RNA from Parasteatoda tepidariorum (common house spider), 359 nucleotides. Lineage: Eukaryota; Metazoa; Arthropoda; Arachnida; Araneae; Theridiidae. The record is from RefSeq and is a predicted model, not a curated record.